Molecule: ribosomal RNA, 192 nt
Filed under: uncultured bacterium
Lineage: Bacteria
Description: partial 16S rRNA
Rfam family: Bacterial small subunit ribosomal RNA
Source: RNAcentral
CCUACGGGGGGCGGCAGUAGGGAAUUUUCCACAAUGCCCGCAAGGGUGAUGGAGCGACGCCGCGUGAGGGAUGAAGGUCUUCGGAUUGUAAACCUCUUUCGUUUGGGAAUAAGGUUUUGGCACUAACAUUGCCAAAAUUUGACGGUACCGAAGGAAGAAGCUACGGCUAACUCUGUGCCAGCAGCCCCGGUC